RNAcentral lists this ribosomal RNA (490 nucleotides) under Selenomonas sp. oral taxon D75. RNAcentral describes it as "bacterial SSU rRNA". It matches the Rfam family "Bacterial small subunit ribosomal RNA", at positions 43 to 503 of the family's 1533-position model. The record is from RNAcentral. Lineage: Bacteria; Bacillati; Bacillota; Negativicutes; Selenomonadales; Selenomonadaceae.
CGGGCGUCUUAACAUGCAAGUCGAACGGAGCGAAUGAAAGCUUGCUUUUAUGAGCUUAGUGGCAAACGGGUGAGUAACACGUAGGCAACCUGCCGACAGGAUGGGGACAACAUUCCGAAAGGAAUGCUAAUACCGAAUGAAGUGCAGGGGAGGCAUCUCCCCUGCAUGAAAGAUGGCCUCUAUAUAUAAGCUAUCACCUGUCGAUGGGCCUGCGUCUGAUUAGCUGGUUGGUGAGGUAACGGCUCACCAAGGCGAUGAUCAGUAGCCGGUCUGAGAGGAUGAACGGCCACAUUGGGACUGAGACACGGCUCAGACUCCUACGGGAGGCAGCAGUGGGGAAUCUUCCGCAAUGGGCGCAAGCCUGACGGAGCAACGCCGCGUGAGUGAAGAAGGUCUUCGGAUCGUAAAGCUCUGUUGACGGGGACGAACGUGCCUAAUGCGAAUAGUUUUAGGUAAUGACGGUACCUGUCGAGGAAGCCACGGCUAACUA